UCUUGAUGAAUUUCCUUUGUCUUGGGAACCAUGCUGUUGGUAAGUGAAGCACUGUCCUGUUUAUUUUUUAUUUUUUUUUCAAAGAUUUAUUUAUUAUAUGUAAGUACACUGUAGCUGUGUUCAGACACUCCAGAAGAGGGGCAUCAGAUCCCAUUACAGAUGGUUGUGAGCCACCAUGUGGUUGCUAGGAUUUGAAUCAGGACCUCUGGAAGAGCAGUCAGUGCUCUUAACUGCUGAGCCAUCUCUCCAGCCCCCACUGUUCUGUUCAUUACAAAGACUCCACUGCUAAUAUUCCUCACUUUUCCUCCCACCAGAUUUUUGUAUUAAUAUAAUGGAUAAAUUAGAAAUUCUAAAAUAAAUUAUUAUUUCUUAGACAAUCAAGUUUAUACUUUUUUUUAAAAAAAUUUUAUACUUUUUUAAAUUUUAUUUUAAAAUAGAUAGAUAAAGUAGGAAAGCUACAAAGUGUGAGGCUCUGUCAAAGUGUGAAGUGUUGUCAGCAAUUACAGGAUUCUCCUGCUUGUGGCUCCUGUGUGAUACUCUUAAUUCUUUCUACUUUUCUUUCCUUGUGCCCCUUUGUGGGUUUUGUUUUUUGUUUUUUUUUGUUUGUUUGUUUUUUUUUUUUUCCUCGAGACAGGGUUUCCAUGUAUAGCCCUGGCUUUCUUGGAACUCACUUUGUAGACCAGGCUGGUCUUGAACUCAGAAAUCCACCUGCCUCUGCCCCCUGAGUGCUGGUAUUAAAGGUGUGUGCCACCACUGCCUGGUGCCACUUGUGUUUUUUGAAGACAAUUUUGCUAUGUACUCUGACUGGCUUUGUACCUUGCUAUGUAGCCAAGGCUAGCAAUAACUUAAAGCAAUCCUCCUGCUUCAGUUUCCUGAAUGCCAGGAUUGCAGAUGUGUCUCACCACACCUAUGUUUCCUCUCCUCCCACAACUUGUUCUUUCCCUUUGUGAAAGAACUCAAAACCAGAAAUUGAAAACUAUAUACUUUUGGUUUGCUAUAGCAAUGAUAUAAAUUGGAGGUAUAAUUCAGUACUUAUAAUACCAUGAUUGAGUGUUAGAAGGUUGAUGAGUAAUAUACAUUUAUAGUUUGGAUAAUUUUUAGGUAUGUUUGUGUUUCUCCUGAUGUAAAUUUUCAAUUAUCUAUGAAAAUAGAACAGAUUAGUAUCAGCUACACUUGCAAGCUGUCAAGAAAGUGACAAAACAACCAAAAAUGGAAAGAUAUUUUUCUGUAUAUAAUUACAUUAUAGUUUAUUUAUUUAAAUUAUUUUCUGUAUAUAUUAAUUACAUAUUAUAUAUACAAGGUACUAGUACUAAAAAUAUAUAAAGAACUUUAAUAUUGAAAAGAGAAAUAUGCAAAGGGUUUGAGUAGACAGUUCUCUGUAGAAAUUUGUAUGCAAGGUCCAGUAAACACACAGAUUUUUCAUAGCAUGAGUCAUAAGAAAAAAGCAAGCAAAACCAUGAGAUACUGCUUCAUACCCAAAAUAGACACAUCACAGAGAUAGACGGGUCUGAGAGGUGACUCGGGGGUUAGGAGCACUUGCUGUUCUCCCAGGGACCCAGAUUGAUUCCUCCUACUUCCCUGGCAGCUCACACCCACCCACAACUCCACUUUAAAGAGGCCCAGCGCCUCUUCUGAUGUCUGAGGGGACUGCAGAUGUGGUGCCCAGACAUACAGAUAGACAGUCACAUAGAAUCAAAAC
RNAcentral lists this long non-coding RNA (1699 nucleotides) under Mus musculus (house mouse). RNAcentral's name for it is "long non-coding RNA chr18:67807540-67809239". The record is from RNAcentral. Lineage: Eukaryota; Metazoa; Chordata; Mammalia; Rodentia; Muridae.